GUGCUCUCUACAGCAGCACAUAUACUAAAAUUGGAAUGAUGCAGAGAAGAUUAGUAUGGCUUCUGCAAAAUAAUGAUACACAAAUUCAUGAAGCAUUCCAUAUUUUU
Small nuclear RNA from Meriones unguiculatus (Mongolian gerbil), 107 nucleotides. Lineage: Eukaryota; Metazoa; Chordata; Mammalia; Rodentia; Muridae. The record is from Ensembl.